Molecule: ribosomal RNA, 524 nt
Filed under: Lysiphlebus testaceipes
Lineage: Eukaryota; Metazoa; Arthropoda; Insecta; Hymenoptera; Braconidae
Description: partial 16S ribosomal RNA
Source: RNAcentral
CACCUGUUUAUCAAAAACAUGUCUUAUUGAAAAUAAUUUUAAGUCUAAUCUGCCCAAUGAAAAUUUUAAUGGCUGCAGUAUCAAUAACUGUACAAAGGUAGCAUAAUAAUUAGUUUUUUAAUUAAAAACUAGAAUGAAAGAUUAAAUGAAAUAUAAACUUUAUAAAUAAAAUAAAAAUUAAAAUUAAAUUUUAAGUUAAAAUUCUUAAAUAUAAUUAAAAGACGAGAAGACCCUUUAGAAUUUUAUAUUAAUUUAAAUUAAAAUUAAAAUAUUAUUUAUAUAAAUUUAAACUAAUAUUUAAUUGGGGUAAUUUUUUAAUUUCAUAAACUUUAAAAUAAUUAAACAUUAAUUUAUGAAUUUAUAAACCUAAAAUUUAGAAUUUUAAAAUAAAUUACCUUAGGGAUAACAGCGUAAUUUUUUUUGAAAGUUCACAUUUAUAAAAAAGAUUGCGACCUCGAUGUUGAAUUAAGAUUAAAUUAAAAGCAAAAAUUUAAUAAUUUAAGUCUGUUCGACUUUUAAAAUCU